This 307-nucleotide unclassified non-coding RNA is filed under the name plant metagenome. RNAcentral's name for it is "partial contains 5.8S ribosomal RNA, internal transcribed spacer 2, and large subunit ribosomal RNA". The stretch from base 1 to 105 matches the Rfam family "5.8S ribosomal RNA", at positions 50 to 154 of the family's 154-position model. The record is from RNAcentral.
GAAAUGCGAUAAGUAAUGUGAAUUACAGAAUUCAGUGAAUCAUCGAAUCUUUGAACGCACAUUGCGCCCGCCAGCUCUCUGGCGGGCAUGCCUGUUCGAGCGUCAUUUCAACCCUCAGAACCCCUUGCGGGAUCUGGCGUUGGGGAUUGGCAUCCAGCCAGCCCCGAAAUCUAGUGGCGGUCCCUCCGCGACCUCCCCUGUGCAGUAGCGAUACCUCGCAGCGGGACAGCGGUCUGACCACGCCGUAAAACCCCCAACUUCUCAAGGUUGACCUCGAAUCAGGUAGGAAUACCCGCUGAACUUAAGC